CAGCCGCCGCGGUAAUACGGAGGAUCCGAGCGUUAUCCGGAAUUAUUGGGUUUAAAGGGUGCGUAGGCGGACAGAUAAGUCAGUGGUGAAAGACGGUGGCUCAACCAUCGCAGUGCCGUUGAUACUGUUUGUCUUGAAUAUGGAUGAGGUAGGCGGAAUGUGGCAAGUAGCGGUGAAAUGCAUAGAUAUGCCACAGAACACCGAUUGCGAAGGCAGCUUACCAAGGCAAUAUUGACGCUGAGGCACGAAAGCGUGGGGAUCGAACAGGAUUAGAUACCCCUGUAGUCCCUGUCUCUUAUAC
This 301-nucleotide ribosomal RNA is filed under the name uncultured bacterium. RNAcentral's name for it is "partial 16S ribosomal RNA". It matches the Rfam family "Bacterial small subunit ribosomal RNA", at positions 509 to 807 of the family's 1533-position model. The record is from RNAcentral.